Phyllostomus discolor (pale spear-nosed bat) is the source of this 415-nucleotide long non-coding RNA. RefSeq lists it as uncharacterized. The record is from RefSeq and is a predicted model, not a curated record. The transcript is spliced from 3 exons. NCBI's taxonomy places the organism in Eukaryota, Metazoa, Chordata, Mammalia, Chiroptera, Phyllostomidae.
UCAGCAUCAGCAUUUCCUGGUGCACAGCAUACAGGUUCCACAUCUGUCCAUAGUGGGUUGGAGUCUCAGCUCUGUCUUCUCCAGCUCGGUGACCUAAGGCAAGAUUCUCAACUUCUGUCUGCCUGCUUCCUAGUCUGUACACUGGAAAUAGGAACUCCAGCCUUUCAGUUUGACAUUCAAAGUUGAGUCAGCACAGACAGAAUCUGGCAAGUGGAUCACUUAGAUCACAAGUCCUGCUGAACAGCCAUCGGUGCCCAUGACUUCCAGGUGUUUAGCACUGGACAAAGGAAGAUAAGGACAGGGUAGGAGUCUGUAGCCAAAUUCAGAAUUUGAGCAAACCCCACUGCUUUCCCAACAUUGACUCAACUGCCCUGAGAAGGAGGCCUAAGGUGGGGGAUCCACUUCCCGCCUGAAG